RNAcentral lists this ribosomal RNA (497 nucleotides) under Sungaya inexpectata. RNAcentral describes it as "partial 16S ribosomal RNA". It matches the Rfam family "Bacterial large subunit ribosomal RNA", at positions 1858 to 2612 of the family's 2925-position model. Lineage: Eukaryota; Metazoa; Arthropoda; Insecta; Phasmatodea; Heteropterygidae. The record is from RNAcentral.
CCUGCCCUAUGAUUUAUUAAAUGGCCGCGGUAUUUUAACCGUGCGAAGGUAGCAUAAUCAUUAGCCCAUUAAUUGUGGGCUUGUAUGAAUGGUUGGACGAAAUAUGUACUGUCUCAUUUUAUUGAUUAUAAUUUGAUUUUUGAGUUAAAAAGCUUAUAUUUUUUUAAAGGACGAGAAGACCCUAUAGAUCUUUAUUUUUUAUUUGUCAAUUAUAUUUUUGGUUUAAUGUUUAUUUUGAUUUAUUUAAUUGUUUUGUUGGGGUGACAUGGGGAUAUAAUUUAAACUCUUCAUUUUUGUUUUCAUUGAUUUAUGUUUAUUUGACCUUUUAUUAUUGUUUUAAGAUUUAGAUACCUUAGGGAUAACAGCGUUAUUUUUCUUGAGAGUUCAUAUCGACAGAUAAGAUUGCGACCUCGAUGUUGGAUUAAGAUUAUUAUUAGGUGUAGUCGCUUGAUUAUUAAGGUCUGUUCGACCUUUAAAUUCUUACAUGAUCUGAGUUA